AUGUACACUCUUGUCAGCGCGGCGCUAUGGGUGGUGGGCAAGGCGUUGGCCCCCGUUGCCGAUGGCUUGCUGGAGGCUUGGGGUGCCACCAAGAACUUGGGUCUCAACAUUGAGGCCCUCAAGAUGGAGCUGCUUCUCGUGAAGGCCACCCUCAAACUUGCAGCCAGCAAACAGAUCUGUGGCCAGGCCAUGGAGGAGCUGCUGGGGAAGCUGCGGGACUCGGCGCACUGUGCCGAGGACUUGUUGGAUGAGUUGGACUACUUCCGCAUCCACGACGAGCUCCAUGGCACGUGUGACGCCGCCGACCACCAUGCCAAGGGUGGUGUCCACGACUUUGCCUUCAAUGCUCGUCACACCGCCAAAGCUGUUGGUAAACGGGUCAGCUGUUGCGCUUGGCCAAGGGCCAGGCAGAGGUCAAAUGUCAAUUCCUCCUUAGACCCAAAAGCCAAUCCGGAGAGGUCGCAUGUCAGUUCCUCCUCAGAACCAAAAGCCAAUCAGGAGGCCUCUGCCUUGGAGUUCCCUUGUACAUUCUUCUAG
RNAcentral lists this ribosomal RNA (537 nucleotides) under Triticum aestivum (bread wheat). RNAcentral describes it as "partial small subunit ribosomal RNA". Lineage: Eukaryota; Viridiplantae; Streptophyta; Magnoliopsida; Poales; Poaceae. The record is from RNAcentral.